GUCUUUCUUAUCUGUUUCUAUGUUUGUGCAUGAUAUGAUACGGAUAAUCUACAUUGCUUUUACAUACCUGCUCAAGCUUGAUGCCUUCUGAUCAUAGAUUUCAAUUUUGAGCAUGGCUGCAAUCAUAGUCAGGAUUGCAAAUUCAGCUCAGUGCAGGGGUAACAUAAUGCUCGCAACCAUUGUAGUGUAAUUGACAGUUCUUUAUGUGCACAGUAUUUAAGGAAAAGGCCAAAAAUAAAGGAAGUGCAAAAAAAAAAAAAAAAAAAAUUUGUAGCGUUCUGAGCUAGAUUUAAAUUAUGGCAAUUACUAAGUUGGAUAUUUUAACAUGUCGUAGAUUCAAGUCUUGUUUAGCAUUAACUACAGGGAAGCAUAAAAGAAAUGCAUAAAGAAAAUUACACAAGAAGAUUGCAUCUUUUUCAAGGACAUUUUCAUAAGCCAUUGCCUAUGCAAUUCAAAAACCCUACUCAAAUAACUGACAGAUCAAUGGAAGGCCAAAAUUCUUAUAUGCAAUGGUAAUAAUUGAUAUCAAAUUUCAUGCUUCUGUUUCUCUCAUUUUUUUCUCUUUAAUUUGAUGCUAUUUUAGGUAUACGAUUGGCAGCUACUCGGAAAUUGACUCCUGCUGGCCCUUUAUUAGCUUUAUCUAUCUGUUCUUUGGCUGUGUUCGUCUCAUCAUACUUCAAAGAUAGUCUUUGAUUGUAGAGCUUGCUAACUAAUUGAUGAUAUUGUUUGAUAAUAGUUAUGUUUUGUGAGUUAAUAUGUUGUACUGACCUCUUCUAAAAAUCAUCUGACUGUGUACUCCAAAUGAUCUAUACCGAUUCAUUAAUAGAUCUCUCUACUGAAGUUUUGAUAGCAAUCUUUCCUUUUUUUUUUUUUUUUUUUUUUUGAUCAAAUAAAGUAUUAGGUUUAUUAUAUAUGAUUAUUGAACAUAUCACCAAAUUCCAGGAUCACAGAGUCUAAAUUUGUAAUAACAGAGUUAAUUUGGCUUUGGUUUUGUUGAAUUAGGCAUAAUUUUUUUACUUUACAGUUGCAGUUAGAGGAGUAAGAUUUUAGAGGGAGUAUUUUAUAGUAUAAAAAUUUGACGAUUAAAAAUGCUAGCAAACUUUAAAAUUCUAGAGAAAUAAGUAAUGGUUUAAUUUUAAAAUAUCAUGAUCAUCUCAAAAAACAAGAAAAAAACAAGAAAAUUUUAUAAUUGUAAGUAUGACUAGAAUUUAGUAGUGUUUGAUAAAUGUAAGAGGCGAAAGCAACUGAUUUGAAGUAUAAGAAAUGAGAGCGUACAUUACAUGAGGCCAGAUCUUAAAAGUAAAGCCUGUGGUUGGAAUGAACUUGCAUUUAUGCCAAAGAUAAGACCGUGUACUUGUGAAAUUAAUUCGUUCAUUUGAAAGCAGGCAGAAUCUUCUAGUCUCUUAAUGCACGUAUUGAUUGGUUCAUGAAUCAUGAUUAUGGGCAUUGCUUCUAUAUGAAGUUGAUGUCCAUUGCCUUGCAAAGUGAAAAAAAGGAGUGGGAGAUAACGGAGCUUCUUAUUGAGAAUGAUGAGGCGUAUCUUCCACUCAAAUCACAGUCCCAA
This 1564-nucleotide long non-coding RNA is filed under the name Jatropha curcas. RNAcentral's name for it is "long non-coding RNA (JCUR_LNC002837)". Lineage: Eukaryota; Viridiplantae; Streptophyta; Magnoliopsida; Malpighiales; Euphorbiaceae. The record is from RNAcentral.